Molecule: long non-coding RNA, 209 nt
Filed under: Capsicum annuum
Lineage: Eukaryota; Viridiplantae; Streptophyta; Magnoliopsida; Solanales; Solanaceae
Description: long non-coding RNA (CANN_LNC016365)
Source: RNAcentral
AGAAAUUCACAAAAUGUCUAAAAUAGUGAUUCAAAAUUUGAAAUUUGAAUUCCCAUAGAGGAAUUCUUUUUUAAUACCAUUUUUUUCAGGACAUUAAUGGCAAAUUUGAAAAAAAAUAUUGUUAUAUCGAUUUAGGGGACUGGUUUUUCUAAUUUAUGAAUUCACGAUUUUAGGGUGAUGGAAAUGGAAGAUCAGGUAGACUAGUGGAG